Long non-coding RNA from Ficedula albicollis (Collared flycatcher), 2231 nucleotides. The record is from Ensembl. Lineage: Eukaryota; Metazoa; Chordata; Aves; Passeriformes; Muscicapidae.
UUUCUGGGCAGUGUCGCAUGUGGAUGCAGUGGCCACAUGUCAUUAAUCAAGAACAAUUAGUCAGGAAUAACUCCAUGUGUAGACAAGUCCAAAUUUAAGGUGAGAGUGGUCACAAGAUGGUGUUCUCCAGGAAGGUGACCUCAGAGCAGAUGUAAUUUCCAUGUGGAUGAUAAUGCUCUUGGCUGGGAAAGAACAGACAUUUGAGAAUUAUUUAAUUUUUUAUCACCAGGUACACACUCAUACACCACUGUUAAGGACCCUAGUCCCAUGAACACUGGAAUAUGGAUCAUGAAGAACUUGCUGUUGCUGCCUGUGACAAAAGAUGAGAACCUGAUGAUCAACUUCCACCAUUCAUUUCGCUCGUCUCUCACAUGUUGUUUCAGCAGAACAUAAGGAUACUGAACUAACAGAUCUCCUUUGCAAGUGACUUCAUGCAGCCAGAUGGGAAAGCAUUUUCCUCACCUCCCAUGUGUGCAGGGAAGAUCCUCUCUCCAGUGAAAACUAUGAUCCCUUGACGGCACAGCCAUCUGAUGAGUAGGUGGGAGGACGCUUGACUGUGUCUCUUCCGACACAAUCAGCAUCGUGUAGAAUGGGGAGGAAGGUGUAGGAGAUACAGAUUUACUGCUACAUGCUUCCACUAUGGGUCAAGAACUUUCUGAACUUUAAGCCACAAAACUUUUUUGUAAGUUGAGUUUGGUUGCAUGUCAACUCCUCUUGGUAGGGUCCUGUAUGUUAGCAUCCAGUUACACAUUUCUACACACAAGUCUUAAAAUUAGACAGUGCAUGUUAUGUUUUUUUUAUGAGUGAGAUCUUUGGUUAUGAACAAUUCUACUAUUACAAAGCAGAAACAAAUGAAAAAUUAAGAGAAUGAAAAACAUUAACCUAGAAGAGUAAUUUUUACACAAACAUUGGCAUGCUCUAUUAUAGUAUGGGAUUUUAUAGAACAAAAUACAUUUAUAUCUCCUAGAGACAUUGAAAAAGUGGCAAUAGUCAAGGUAGCACUGAACAUUCAUUCCUUUUUUAAGUACUUUAUUAACUUGGGUUAUCAUAUCUUAUUACCAGCUGUUUUUAUUUUUAUACAGUUUGAGCCUGAUCCAGUAUCUUUUUACCACUAAGGAGUAUUCUUUGUGUAGGGAAAAUAGGAUUUUAUUCUUUUAUUUGUUGAUUUCGACUGCUUAUUAGAGUUCACUUCUGUUUGAGCUGUUAACAAUAUGUCACUGUAUCUUGAGAGUCUCUUUGGAUUAUUGCUUGAUAAUUGGGAGACUGUGUAAUAUAGCAAAUUAUUUUAAAAAGGGUAUGGGACAUAACAGAAGGCUGCUCUGUAAUUUGUUGUAAUCAUUAGUUUGACUGACUUGUCUAUCCUAAACAAAUUUUACUGUGUUAUUGCAAUUACUGUAUGUCAGAAAAUAGUAAAAAGAAAAAAAUCCCAUUGGCAUCUAUUUCAAGAGAGUUAUUAACAGGAGAACCUGAACUUAACUGCAGCAUUAAGAUACAAUAUCUGGUUCUGCCUUUUUAAAUCCAACAAAAGUCAAAUAAAUUGUGCGGAUGAAACUGAAGUGUAUUUAAAAUUGUUUUGCUUUGCUUGGUGCUAGGAUAGAAUGUGAAACUAAAUAUGUUCAUCCAAAGAUAACUGAAGUUCCUGCUCCUGUUUAGAUUUCAUCGUCUGUUAGAAAUCUCCUAGGUGAUUAAACUAAUGCACUGUAAAAGAAUGAAUCAGUCCUGCAGAGCUUCUCUCUGUACUGAGAAUAACUUGCUCAGUUAAGUACUGUUGGGGUUUUACUAAAUUAAAAUCCUGGGAAUUUUUGUGCAUAAUAUAUUUUAUCUGCGAAAGCUGAGUAAAAUUUUAUAUCUGACUCUCAAACUAAAUUCCUUUGGUAAUUAAUAAAGAAGAUUUGAAUACAUUUCUGGUAGAGUCAUCUUUGACCAAUUUAAUAACUUGAUUUUCUUAACAGAGGAAAAUCCUUAUCUCUCAAGGCUUGUGGUAACAUUGGGAUACACCGUGAAAUUGUUAAGAGAUUCAGAGAGUCUUUUCUUUGUUGCGAGAAGAUGAAUUCAGAUUGGAAAGUUAUCAUUUACUGGCUCAGGUGGAAUACAUUCUUAGUAAUUAUUUAAUAUUUAUAUUUCAGUUCCUCUGUAGAUACCAGUAGAUUCCUGAAACUCUUACGGGAAGCAUCGUGUAGGCUGCUUGCAAAGCUGACUCAUUUUAACUGUUCACUUGUUUACAGAUAAAU